This is a long non-coding RNA of Drosophila innubila, 1054 nucleotides long. RefSeq lists it as uncharacterized. The transcript is spliced from 2 exons. NCBI's taxonomy places the organism in Eukaryota, Metazoa, Arthropoda, Insecta, Diptera, Drosophilidae. The record is from RefSeq and is a predicted model, not a curated record.
CGUUCGGUCACACUGCUCCCUCAGGGCUGUCAGUUGUUAGAGAGCCGAGCGACUGUGAAGACGUACGUGUGUGCUCAUACAGUGCUCUCAGAAUUUAUUUUUGGCAGUUUUUUUCCCCUACUGGCAGAAUAGCAAGCAAAAUAUAACAAAAAAAAAAAAAAAUGGUUAUUAAAAGACAAAAUACAAAUGCAAUUACACUUCAGCAGCCGCACUAACAUCAACAAUGAAAUGUUAUUUUGUUGUUAAUACAACAUUGAAUGUAUGAAUUGCAAAUGAAACAAAAACAAAAGGCAUUUUCUGAAGCGACACAUUUAUUUGCGUACAAAUACAUAUGUAUAUAUAUGUAUAUGCAUAAUAACAAUACGUAUAUAUGGGAGCAAUUAAUAAACAUUGGAUAUUUUUUGACAAAAUUCACUAGAUAAUGGCCACGAAUAUGAACAAAUAUUUAUAUCUACCAAAAAAAGAGAAAAAGCGUUAGCGUUUCUUUCAUUCAAUUGAAAAAGAAAUUGAAAUUCGCGGAAGACGACACGACGACGACGACGGUGAAGAAAGAUUUUUACUCGCGUCGCGGUAUACUUCAACUGUUUUUGAACUUUUAUUGCGUUGCUGCUGAGCAAGAGCGCCAACUACAAAAGUCGCCGCGCAGCGCCCAACAACAAGUCGCUGCGACCGAAAGAAACAAAAAAAAAAAACGAAUUCAACGAAACCAGAACGUGUGUGCGAGUGCAAAGUGUUGAGAGCAAAGGAGAGCGAGCGUGCGACUUGAGCAUGCGCGAUGUGCGCUUAAAUGUAGACGAACUCAGCUGAAUGGAUGUAUGUGUGUGUGUGUGUGUGUGUGCAUGAUUGUGUCGCGUCAUUUUCGCCUUCGCCGCACUACGUGCUGCUUUGCUUACUGUGCGCGUUUUUCGUUUAUCGCCGCCGCCGUAAACUCACACACUGAAUUUGCCAUUGUUGUCUUCUCAGCGAGUCGCCGUCGUAGCCUCGGCGCUGCUUUGUCGCUGUCGUCUCUCGUGCUCGCCGUCUCGCAUAGUUUGCUUGCUGUUUUGCCAGAGGA